Molecule: ribosomal RNA, 460 nt
Filed under: uncultured bacterium
Lineage: Bacteria
Description: partial 16S ribosomal RNA
Rfam family: Bacterial small subunit ribosomal RNA
Source: RNAcentral
CCUACGGGCGGCAGCAGUGAGGAAUAUUGGUCAAUGGGCGUAAGCCUGAACCAGCCAAGUAGCGUGCAGGAUGACGGCCCUAUGGAUUGUAAACCGCUUUUAUACGGGAAUAAAGUGCCUUACGUGUAGCGUUUUGCAUGUACCGUAUGAAUAAGGAUCGGCUAACUCCGUGCCAGCAGCCGCGGUAAUACGGAGGGUCCGGGCGUUAUCCGGAUUUAUUGGGUUUAAAGGGUGCGUAGGCGGCCUUUUAAGUGAGCUGUGAAAGUUUGUGGCUCAACCCUGGACUUGCCGGGGAAACUGGGAGGCUUGAGUAUGUGUGAGGCAGGCGGAAUGCGUGGUGUAGCGGUGAAAUGCUUAGAUAUGACGAAGAACCCCGAUUGCGAAGGCAGCUUGCUACGGCAGGACUGACGCUGAUGCUCGAAAGCGUGGGUAUCGAACAGGAUUAGAUACCCCUGUAGUC